Molecule: long non-coding RNA, 1286 nt
Organism: Solea solea (common sole)
Lineage: Eukaryota; Metazoa; Chordata; Actinopteri; Pleuronectiformes; Soleidae
Exons: 5
Source: RefSeq, a predicted model, not a curated record
ACGCAACGUAGUUCCCCACCACAGCAGCAGCGGAUUAAUAUCCAAAACGUGAACAGGUUAGUGUCUGCUCAGCAGGUGGAUGAACAUGUAAUGGAGUUGCAGCAUCAGUCGCUGACCAAGGAAUUACUGGGGAAGUUGGUGGUAGAGGGAGGCUAUUGACAUGUCACAGCAAGAUGCUCAAAAAUGUAGAGCACAUGGAGAAGAUUGCCAUGCUGGCUUUCCAUCCAGUUAAGAUGCACAGCUGCUAUGAGAAGGUGGUGAACCUGAGCCUUGAGGGUCUUGCAGCAACAGUUUGACGUGAGCAGCCCGUCAGUGUUUGUCCAAAGGGCCCAGAUCCCCAUGAGAGAGAUGUUUGAGCAGAUACUUCAUCAGAGUCUCGAGUCUCAGGGUACAGAGGAGCUGUGUAAGAUCAUCCAGCACUGCCAGGACAGAGUCAUUAAGCACAUGGAGAAGAUUGCCAUGCUGGCUUUCCAUCCAGUUAAGAUGCACAGCUGCUAUGAGAAGGUGGUGAACCUGAGCCUUGAGGGUCUUGCAGCAACAGUUUGACGUGAGCAGCCCGUCAGUGUUUGUCCAAAGGGCCCAGAUCCCCAUGAGAGAGAUGUUUGAGCAGAUCCUUCAUCAGAGUCUCGAGUCUCAGGGUACAGAGGAGCUGUGUAAGAUCAUCCAGCACUGCCAGGACAGAGUCAUUAAGGUAAUACACAAAGAAAACAGGCUUGUGCAUCAAAUUCUUGCAUAACAUCUACAUUAAUAUCUAAUAAUAUUACAUCUGGCAUACUCCAGCCCUGGGAGUGAAACUUUUGGUCUGGCCUUGUUUUAGUGUUAAUGAAAAUUCAGGUUCACCUUUAUCAAUUUAUUAAUUUUUUAACAAAGAGUCCAGGAUACCGGGCAAUAUCCCAGCUUAAUCCCUUCUGUGCAUGGUCCUCUGAUAUUUUCAAGCCUCAACUUGCCAGCUCCAUGUUUAUUUUUAUUAUAUCAGAAAGUAUGAGUGUGUGGAUGAGCUAACUCAUGCUUUUGAAGCAUGAUGAUGGUCGCCACAGCGGUCGUCUUCCAGAUAGAGAUUAGAUAGAAAAUAAAAACUCCAAACUCAAGGAAUAAACACUUGACUUUUGCGAGAACAGGUGAACGUCACAUAGUGUACCCUGAGACAUUAUUGCUCUGGACCAUAAUCAUCAAUUGGACUGAUAAGAGAUUGCCGGCAUCUUGUGAAAUGUGCCAGUACACAAAUAAAAGUGCCGGUUCUGUGUACUGGACAGUACCGGGCCACUUCUAGUUAAUAAUUGUACUGU